RNAcentral lists this ribosomal RNA (20 nucleotides) under Trichomonas sp. 1 AP-2012. Its description in RNAcentral is "partial 28S ribosomal RNA". The record is from RNAcentral. Lineage: Eukaryota; Parabasalia; Trichomonadida; Trichomonadidae.
UACGUAGUCUGCUGCAUGCA